Potamilus streckersoni is the source of this 73-nucleotide non-coding RNA. Lineage: Eukaryota; Metazoa; Mollusca; Bivalvia; Unionida; Unionidae. The record is from the annotation of a GenBank genome assembly.
GCUGCGGUGCCCCUGUGGUUAGAGCGACGGCCUCGGAUGCGGUAGGACGCAGGUUCGAAUUCCGUCCGAGAUU